GUGCUCACUUCAGCAGCAUAUAUACUAAAAAUUGGAAUGAUACAGAGAAGAUUAGCAUAGCCUCUGUGCAAGGAUAACACGUGAAGCUUUCCAUAUUAAA
RNAcentral lists this small nuclear RNA (100 nucleotides) under Choloepus hoffmanni (Hoffmann's two-fingered sloth). Lineage: Eukaryota; Metazoa; Chordata; Mammalia; Pilosa; Megalonychidae. The record is from RNAcentral.